RNAcentral lists this ribosomal RNA (253 nucleotides) under uncultured bacterium. RNAcentral's name for it is "partial 16S ribosomal RNA". It matches the Rfam family "Bacterial small subunit ribosomal RNA", at positions 524 to 776 of the family's 1533-position model. The record is from RNAcentral.
UACGAAGGGGGCUAGCGUUGUUCGGAUUUACUGGGCGUAAAGCGCGUGUAGGCGGGUCGUUAAGUUGGGGGUGAAAUCCCGAGGCUCAACCUCGGAACUGCCUUCAAAACUGGCGAUCUGGACUCAAGUAGAGGCAAGUGGAAUUGCGAGUGUAGAGGUGAAAUUCGUAGAUAUUCGCAGGAACACCAGUGGCGAAGGCGACUUGCUGGACUUGUUGUGACGCUGAGACGCGAAAGCGUGGGGAGCAAACAGG